RNAcentral lists this ribosomal RNA (468 nucleotides) under uncultured bacterium. RNAcentral describes it as "partial 16S ribosomal RNA". It matches the Rfam family "Bacterial small subunit ribosomal RNA", at positions 28 to 507 of the family's 1533-position model. The record is from RNAcentral.
GACGAACGCUGGCGGCGUGCCUAACACAUGCAAGUCGAACGGAAAGGCCCGGCUUUGGGGGGGAGCUCGAGUGGAGAACGGGUGAGUAACACGUGAGUAACCUGUCCCUGACCGUGGGAUAACCUAAGGAAACUGGGUCUCAUCCCGGAUAGGAGCUCUUGCUGCUUGGUGGGGGUUGGUAGGUUUCGGUGGUUGGGGAUGGACUCGCGGCGUAUCAGCUUGUUGGAUGGGUAGUGGCUUACCAAGGCUUGGACGGGUAGCCGGGCUGGAAGGGUGACCGGCCACGUUGGGACUGAGAUACGGCCCAGACUCCUACGGGAGGCAGCGGUGGAGAAUAUUGCACAAUGGGCGGAAGCCUGAUGCAGCAACGCCGCGUGCGGGAUGACGGCCUUCGGGUUGUAAACCGCUUUCGCCUGUCACGAGGCGUGAGUGACGGUAAUGGGUAAAGAAGCACCGGCUAACUCCGUG